This 252-nucleotide ribosomal RNA is filed under the name uncultured bacterium. RNAcentral's name for it is "partial 16S ribosomal RNA". It matches the Rfam family "Bacterial small subunit ribosomal RNA", at positions 524 to 776 of the family's 1533-position model. The record is from RNAcentral.
UACGUAGGGUGCAAGCGUUGUCCGGAAUUAUUGGGCGUAAAGAGCUCGUAGGCGGUCUGUCGCGUCGAAUGUGAAAACCCGGGGCUCAACCCCGGGCCUGCAUUCGAUACGGGCAGACUAGAGUUCGGUAGGGGAGUCUGGAAUUCCUGGUGUAGCGGUGAAAUGCGCAGAUAUCAGGAGGAACACCGGUGGCGAAGGCGGGACUCUGGGCCGAUACUGACGCUGAGGAGCGAAAGCGUGGGAGCAAACAGG